RNAcentral lists this ribosomal RNA (592 nucleotides) under Wolbachia sp. RNAcentral describes it as "bacterial SSU rRNA". It matches the Rfam family "Bacterial small subunit ribosomal RNA", at positions 220 to 829 of the family's 1533-position model. The record is from RNAcentral. Lineage: Bacteria; Pseudomonadati; Pseudomonadota; Alphaproteobacteria; Rickettsiales; Anaplasmataceae.
AUUAGAUGAGCCUAUAUUAGAUUAGCUAGUUGGUGGGGUAAUAGCCUACCAAGGUAAUGAUCUAUAGCUGAUCUGAGAGGAUGAUCAGCCACACUGGAACUGAGAUACGGUCCAGACUCCUACGGGAGGCAGCAGUGGGGAAUAUUGGACAAUGGGCGAAAGCCUGAUCCAGCCAUGCCGCACGAGUGAAGAAGGCCUUUGGGUUGUAAAGCUCUUUUAGUGAGGAAGAUAAUGACGGUACUCACAGAAGAAGUCCUGGCUAACUCCGUGCCAGCAGCCGCGGUAAUACGGAGAGGGCUGGCGUUAUUCGGAAUUAUUGGGCGUAAAGGGCGCGUAGGCUGGUUAAUAAGUUAAAAGUGAAAUCCCGAGGCUUAACCUUGGAAUUGCUUUUAAAACUAUUAAUCUAGAGAUUGAAAGAGGAUAGAGGAAUUCCUGAUGUAGAGGUAAAAUUCGUAAAUAUUAGGAGGAACACCAGUGGCGAAGGCGUCUAUCUGGUUCAAAUCUGACGCUGAAGCGCGAAGGCGUGGGGAGCAAACAGGAUUAGAUACCCUGGUAGUCCACGCUGUGAACGAUGAAUGUUAAAUAUGGGGAG